This 71-nucleotide ribozyme is filed under the name Gonapodya prolifera JEL478. Its description in RNAcentral is "HDV ribozyme from F. prausnitzii". It matches the Rfam family "HDV ribozyme from F. prausnitzii". Lineage: Eukaryota; Fungi; Monoblepharomycota; Monoblepharidomycetes; Monoblepharidales; Gonapodyaceae. The record is from Rfam by way of RNAcentral.
GGGGUACACGGUGACUGCCUCCUCGUGGCGUACCCCGGGCAACGUUCGAUUUUCGAACGGCUGAAGUCACC